This 493-nucleotide ribosomal RNA is filed under the name uncultured bacterium. RNAcentral describes it as "partial 16S ribosomal RNA". It matches the Rfam family "Bacterial small subunit ribosomal RNA", at positions 29 to 508 of the family's 1533-position model. The record is from RNAcentral.
AGUGAACGCUGGCGGUAGGCCUAACACAUGCAAGUCGAACGGCAGCACAGUAAGAGCUUGCUCUUACGGGUGGCGAGUGGCGGACGGGUGAGGAAUACAUCGGAAUCUACUUUUUCGUGGGGGAUAACGUAGGGAAACUUACGCUAAUACCGCAUACGACCUACGGGUGAAAGCAGGGGAUCUUCGGACCUUGCGCGAUUGAAUGAGCCGAUGUCGGAUUAGCUAGUUGGCGGGGUAAAGGCCCACCAAGGCGACGAUCCGUAGCUGGUCUGAGAGGAUGAUCAGCCAAACUGGAACUGAGACACGGUCCAGACUCCUACGGGAGGCAGCAGUGGGGAAUAUUGGACAAUGGGCGCAAGCCUGAUCCAGCCAUACCGCGUGGGUGAAGAAGGCCUUCGGGUUGUAAAGCCCUUUUGUUGGGAAAGAAAAGCAGCAGGUUAAUACCCCGCUGUUCUGACGGUACCCAAAGAAUAAGCACCGGCUAACGUCGUGC